This 117-nucleotide ribosomal RNA is filed under the name uncultured bacterium. RNAcentral describes it as "partial 16S ribosomal RNA". It matches the Rfam family "Bacterial small subunit ribosomal RNA", at positions 1367 to 1482 of the family's 1533-position model. The record is from RNAcentral.
UACGUUCCCGGGUCUUGUACACACCGCCCGUCACACCAUGGGAGCGGGGUUUUACCAGAAGUAGGUAGCUUAACCGCAAGGGGGGCGCUUACCACGGUAGGAUUCGUGACUGGGGUG